RNAcentral lists this long non-coding RNA (244 nucleotides) under Elaeis guineensis (African oil palm). RNAcentral's name for it is "long non-coding RNA (EGUI_LNC055186)". The record is from RNAcentral. Lineage: Eukaryota; Viridiplantae; Streptophyta; Magnoliopsida; Arecales; Arecaceae.
AUCCCUAACCACCUUGGGAUGCCAAAAUAAAUGAGUCAUUUUUGGCAUGCGUGCAGGUGGAGAGAAAAGUUUUCACCAUGAAAAAUAUUAGAGUUUUAUCAAGUGAAAGGUGGGGCAUGAGUAGUGUUGGGUGUGGGUCUUUUUGGCAGUACACCUUAGGGUUUUGAUCUAGGGUUUCAGGAAGAGAAGAAAAAUAAGAAAAGAGUGUCUUGUCUUCAUUUUUCUUCCACUACUUUCUCCUCCC